UCACGAUGAAAACACCGGUUCUCGUUCGAUCACACAAGUUAAGCAUCGUAGAGCCAGGCCAAUACUUAGAUGGAGGACCGCUUGGUACAAACUGGUACUGUAA
This 103-nucleotide ribosomal RNA is filed under the name Acanthosepion pharaonis. The record is from RNAcentral. Lineage: Eukaryota; Metazoa; Mollusca; Cephalopoda; Sepiida; Sepiidae.